RNAcentral lists this ribosomal RNA (491 nucleotides) under uncultured bacterium. Its description in RNAcentral is "partial 16S ribosomal RNA". It matches the Rfam family "Bacterial small subunit ribosomal RNA", at positions 29 to 507 of the family's 1533-position model. The record is from RNAcentral.
GUGAACGCUGGCGGUAGGCCUAACACAUGCAAGUCGAACGGCAGCACAGUAAGAGCUUGCUCUUACGGGUGGCGAGUGGCGGACGGGUGAGGAAUACAUCGGAAUCUACUUUUUCGUGGGGGAUAACGUAGGGAAACUUACGCUAAUACCGCAUACGACCUACGGGUGAAAGCAGGGGAUCUUCGGACCUUGCGCGAUUGAAUGAGCCGAUGUCGGAUUAGCUAGUUGGCGGGGUAAAGGCCCACCAAGGCGACGAUCCGUAGCUGGUCUGAGAGGAUGAUCCGGCAAACUGGAACUGGGAAACGGUCCAGACUCCUUAGGGAGGGCGCAGUGGGGAAUUUUGGGACAUGGGGCGAAGCCCUAUCCCACCAAUCCGGCUGGGGUAAAGAGGGCUUCCGGUUGGUAAGGCCUUUUUGUGGGAAAGAAAAGCAGCAGGUUAAUACCCCGCUGUUCUGACGGUACCCAAAGAAUAAGCACCGGCUAACUUCGUG